RNAcentral lists this transfer RNA (64 nucleotides) under Hemiodoecus leai. RNAcentral's name for it is "tRNA-Tyr". Lineage: Eukaryota; Metazoa; Arthropoda; Insecta; Hemiptera; Peloridiidae. The record is from RNAcentral.
GAUGAGGUGGCUGAAAAUAGGCUAUAAAUUGUAAAUUUAUAUAUAAACAUUUGUUUCCUUAUUA